Molecule: non-coding RNA, 116 nt
Organism: Lasiosphaeria ovina
Lineage: Eukaryota; Fungi; Ascomycota; Sordariomycetes; Sordariales; Lasiosphaeriaceae
Source: the annotation of a GenBank genome assembly
GGCCCAAUGGUCUAGUGGUAUGAUUCGCGCUUCGGGUUGUUCUCUUGAACUCCCUCCGUUUGUUUCAACAAGUGGGAGCAUGUGCGAGGUCUCGGGUUCGAGUCCCGAUUGGGCCC